Molecule: ribosomal RNA, 492 nt
Filed under: uncultured bacterium
Lineage: Bacteria
Description: partial 16S ribosomal RNA
Rfam family: Bacterial small subunit ribosomal RNA
Source: RNAcentral
AGUGAACGCUGGCGGUAGGCCUAACACAUGCAAGUCGAACGGCAGCACAGUAAGAGCUUGCUCUUACGGGUGGCGAGUGGCGGACGGGUGAGGAAUACAUCGGAAUCUACUUUUUCGUGGGGGAUAACGUAGGGAAACUUACGCUAAUACCGCAUACGACCUACGGGUGAAAGCAGGGGAUCUUCGGACCUUGCGCGAUUGAAUGAGCCGAUGUCGGAUUAGCUAGUUGGCGGGGUAAAGGCCCACCAAGGCGACGAUCCGUAGCUGGUCCGAGAGGAUGAUCAGCCACACUGGAACUGAGACACGGUCCAGACUACUACGGGAGGCAGCAGUGGGGAAUAGUGGACAAUGGGCGCAAGCAUGAUCCAGCCAUACCGCGUGGGUGAAGAAGGCCUUCGGGUUGUAAAGCCCUUUUGUUGGGAAAGAAAAGCAGCAGGUUAAUACCCCGCUGUUCUGACGGUACCCAAAGAAUAAGCACCGGCUAACUUCGUG